RNAcentral lists this transfer RNA (87 nucleotides) under Candidatus Margulisiibacteriota bacterium. RNAcentral describes it as "tRNA-Ser". It matches the Rfam family "tRNA". Rfam says of the family: Transfer RNA (tRNA) molecules are approximately 80 nucleotides in length. The record is from RNAcentral. Lineage: Bacteria; Bacillati; Candidatus Margulisiibacteriota.
GGAGGAGUGGCAGAGUGGUCGAUUGCGGCGGUCUUGAAAACCGUUGUGCCCUCGCGGGUACCGUGGGUUCAAAUCCUACCUCCUCCG